GCACAAGCAGCGGAGCAUGUGGUUUAAUUCGAAGCAACGCGAAGAACCUUACCUAGACUUGACAUCUCCUGAAUUACCCUUAACCGGGGAAGCCUUGGGCAGGAAGACAGGUGGUGCAUGGUUGUCGUCAGCUCGUGUCGUGAGAUGUUGGGUUAAGUCCCGCAACGAGCGCAACCCUUAUUUUUAGUUGCUACCAUUCAGUUGAGCACUCUAAAGAGACUGCCCGGGUUAACCGGGAGGAAGGUGGGGAUGACGUCAAAUCAUCAUGCCCCUUAUGUCUAGGGCUACACACGUGCUACAAUGGUGAGAACAAAGAGACGCGAGACCGCGAGGUGGAGCAAAUCUCAUAAAACUCAUCCCAGUUCGGAUUGCAGGCUGAAACUCGCCUGCAUGAAGCCGGAGUUGCUAGUAAUCGCGAAUCAGCAUGUCGCGGUGAAUACGUUCCCGGGCCUU
Molecule: ribosomal RNA, 453 nt
Filed under: uncultured Clostridium sp.
Lineage: Bacteria; Bacillati; Bacillota; Clostridia; Eubacteriales; Clostridiaceae
Description: bacterial SSU rRNA
Rfam family: Bacterial small subunit ribosomal RNA
Source: RNAcentral